GCUGCGGGAUCUGGGGUUUAUUUUAGUCCGGCGCCAGGUUUACGACAGACUCGGGGGGCGGAGCAACAUCCCAAACGAGCAAACAAUGGUCAUUGACAUCUUUUUCUCUCGUCCCCCCCUCCCCAUAACGCAGGCAAAAAAAGAUCCUUAAGCAUCAUUUUGCGGGCAACCGAACGGACACUUUCCAAAUUAGCUCAAAGUAUCCAAGUCCAAAGAAGAGAGAAAACAGACACUGACAAAUACAAAGAUGCUAACUUCAAAGAGAAUGACCACUGGUGCAAUAUUGAAUGAAAGUGAUGAAAGAAGAUAUUCCUGCUUUUUUUCCAGUCUUGGGGGAAAACAUUCAGUCUUUCACUGGUAUUUUGAUCACAGCAAGACGAAAGCUGACUACAAGUGGCAGGGCCUCACUGAGUUGCUAAAGCUGACCUUGAACACGUGAUGCUCCUGUUCCAGCCUUCCAAGUUAAUGGGAUUAUAAAUACGCACCACCAUGCCCAGCAACUGGGCUGUUCUUUUUAUUAUUAUUAUUAUUUUAAUUUUUCUUUUAUUAGAGCUUUACAGUCAUACAUUUACAGUUAUGCAUGGUAGUUGGGUUCAUCCUGACACACUCAUACUUGCCUGGAAUUCUAUUUUAGUUCAUGAUCUCCCCUCUUUCCACUUUUUUCUCUCUUCCUCCCUCCCUUCUCCCCUUCUCCUUCCUCUACUCUAUUAAACCUCCUUUCACUCAUCUAUAAA
Ictidomys tridecemlineatus (thirteen-lined ground squirrel) is the source of this 734-nucleotide non-coding RNA. The record is from RefSeq and is a predicted model, not a curated record. Lineage: Eukaryota; Metazoa; Chordata; Mammalia; Rodentia; Sciuridae.